GGGGAUGUGGCUCAAGUGGUAGCGCGCUCGCCUAGCAUGCGUGCGGCCCGGGUUCAAUCCUCAGCAGCACCA
Molecule: transfer RNA, 72 nt
Filed under: Urocitellus parryii (Arctic ground squirrel)
Lineage: Eukaryota; Metazoa; Chordata; Mammalia; Rodentia; Sciuridae
Also listed under: 1 other name
Description: Spermophilus parryii (Arctic ground squirrel) tRNA
Rfam family: tRNA
About the family: Transfer RNA (tRNA) molecules are approximately 80 nucleotides in length. Their secondary structure includes four short double-helical elements and three loops (D, anti-codon, and T loops).
Source: Rfam by way of RNAcentral